UGGCGGACGGGUGAGUAACGCGUAAAGAACUUGCCCUUUAGACUGGGAUAACAGAGGGAAACUUCUGAUAAUACUGGAUAAGUUAGUAUAUCGCAUGAUAUGCAAAUGAAAGCUACGGCACUAAAGGAGAGCUUUGCGUCCUAUUAGCUAGUUGGUAAGGUAAGAGCUUACCAAGGCGAUGAUAGGUAGCCGGCCUGAGAGGGUGGACGGCCACAAGGGGACUGAGAUACGGCCCUUACUCCUACGGGAANCAGCAGCG
RNAcentral lists this ribosomal RNA (259 nucleotides) under uncultured Leptotrichia sp. Its description in RNAcentral is "partial 16S ribosomal RNA". It matches the Rfam family "Bacterial small subunit ribosomal RNA", at positions 96 to 356 of the family's 1533-position model. Lineage: Bacteria; Fusobacteriati; Fusobacteriota; Fusobacteriia; Fusobacteriales; Leptotrichiaceae. The record is from RNAcentral.